Molecule: ribosomal RNA, 485 nt
Filed under: uncultured bacterium
Lineage: Bacteria
Description: partial 16S ribosomal RNA
Rfam family: Bacterial small subunit ribosomal RNA
Source: RNAcentral
AUUGAACGCUGGCGGCAUGCCUUACACAUGCAAGUCGAACGGCAGCACGGGUGCUUGCACCUGGUGGCGAGUGGCGAACGGGUGAGUAAUACAUCGGAACAUGUCCUGUAGUGGGGGAUAGCCCGGCGAAAGCCGGAUUAAUACCGCAUACGAUCUACGGAUGAAAGCGGGGGACCUUCGGGCCUCGCGCUAUCGGGUUGGCCGAUGGCUGAUUAGCUAGUUGGUGGGGUAAAGGCCUACCAAGGCGACGAUCAGUAGCUGGUCUGAGAGGACGACCAGCCACACUGGGACUGAGACACGGCCCAGACUCCUACGGGAGGCAGCAGUGGGGAAUUUUGGACAAUGGGCGAAAGCCUGAUCCAGCAAUGCCGCGUGUGUGAAGAAGGCCUUCGGGUUGUAAAGCACUUUUGUCCGGAAAGAAAUCCUUGGCCCUAAUACGGUCGGGGGAUGACGGUACCGGAAGAAUAAGCACCGGCGAACUACGU